ACUCCCAUGGUGUGACGGGCGGUGUGUACAAGGCCCGGGAACGUACUCACCGCGGCGGCUGGUACAAUCACUAGUGAAUUCUAUCCACGCAGUAAACGGUCAGUAAAACGAGGGUGAGAGAACAGUAAGCGGCACAGCGAAAGCGUUAAGUAAUCCACCUGGGGAGUACGCCGGCAACGGUGAAACUCAAAGGAAUUGACGGGGGCCCGCACAAGCGGAGGAACAUGUGGUUUAAUUCGAUGAUACGCGAGGAACCUUACCCGGGUUUGAACGUAGGGAGACAGGAGUGGAAACAUUCUAUUCAGCAAUGACUGCCUACGAGGUGCUGCAUGGUUGUCGUCAGCUCGUGCCGUGAGGUGUCGGCUUAAGUGCCAUAACGAGCGCAACCCUUGUCAUUAGUUACCAUCAGGGUCAACCUGGGGGACUCUAAGGAGACUGCCGCCGUAAGGUGUGAGGAAGGGGGGGAAUGACGUCAAAUCCUCUCGGCGCUUAUGUCCGGGGGGUAACAGGGUUUUACAGUGGGAGGGACACAGAAGCGCCCUUUGGGUAUAGCUCCACCCUCCGCGAUAGCUUUCUCCAUUUGGCAUUCGGAACUCCACAUCCC
RNAcentral lists this ribosomal RNA (604 nucleotides) under uncultured bacterium. Its description in RNAcentral is "bacterial SSU rRNA". It matches the Rfam family "Bacterial small subunit ribosomal RNA", at positions 549 to 1318 of the family's 1533-position model. The record is from RNAcentral.